This 508-nucleotide ribosomal RNA is filed under the name bacterium enrichment culture clone ALO1_GLFRUDD03F1JI6. RNAcentral describes it as "bacterial SSU rRNA". It matches the Rfam family "Bacterial small subunit ribosomal RNA", at positions 9 to 512 of the family's 1533-position model. The record is from RNAcentral.
GAGUUUGAUCAUGGCUCAGAUUGAACGCUGGCGGCAGGCCUAACACAUGCAAGUCGAGCGGAUGACGGGAGCUUGCUCCUUGAUUCAGCGGCGGACGGGUGAGUAAUGCCUAGGAAUCUGCCUGGUAGUGGGGGACAACGUUUCGAAAGGAACGCUAAUACCGCAUACGUCCUACGGGAGAAAGCAGGGGACCUUCGGGCCUUGCGCUAUCAGAUGAGCCUAGGUCGGAUUAGCUAGUUGGUGGGGUAAUGGCUCACCAAGGCGACGAUCCGUGACUGGUCUGAGAGGAUGAUCAGUCACACUGGAACUGAGACACGGUCCAGACUCCUACGGGAGGCAGCAGUGGGGAAUAUUGGACAAUGGGCGAAAGCCUGAUCCAGCCAUGCCGCGUGUGUGAAGAAGGUCUUCGGAUUGUAAAGCACUUUAAGUUGGGAGGAAGGGCAGUAAGUUAAUACCUUGCUGUUUUGACGUUACCGACAGAAUAAGCACCGGCUAACUCUGUGCCAGC